CAUUAUGUAAGACCCCUUGUAGACGACGAGGUUGAUAGGUUCGGGGUGGAAGCGCGGCAACGUGUGCAGCUGACGAAUACUAAUCGGUCGAGGGCUUAUCCAAU
RNAcentral lists this ribosomal RNA (104 nucleotides) under Paenibacillus tyrphae. Its description in RNAcentral is "Paenibacillus tyrfis partial 23S ribosomal RNA". It matches the Rfam family "Bacterial large subunit ribosomal RNA", at positions 2822 to 2925 of the family's 2925-position model. The record is from RNAcentral. Lineage: Bacteria; Bacillati; Bacillota; Bacilli; Caryophanales; Paenibacillaceae.